UAGGGAAUCUUCCACAAUGGGCGCAAGCCUGAUGGAGCAACACCGCGUGAGUGAAGAAGGUCUUCGGAUCGUAAAACUCUGUUGUUAGAGAAGAACACGAGUGAGAGUAACUGUUCAUUCGAUGACGGUAUCUAACCAGCAAGUCACGGCUAACUACGUGCCCG
Molecule: ribosomal RNA, 164 nt
Filed under: uncultured bacterium
Lineage: Bacteria
Description: partial 16S rRNA
Rfam family: Bacterial small subunit ribosomal RNA
Source: RNAcentral